UGGGGAAUAUUGCACAAUGGGCGCAAGCCUGAUGCAGCCAUGCCGCGUGUGUGAAGAAGGCCUUCGGGUUGUAAAGCACUUUCAGCGAGGAGGAAGGGUGGUGUGUUAAUAGCACAUUGCAUUGACGUUACUCGCAGAAGAAGCACCGGCUAACUCCGUGCCAGCAGCCGCGGUAAUACGGAGGGUGCAAGCGUUAAUCGGAAUUACUGGGCGUAAAGCGCACGCAGGCGGUUUGUUAAGUCAGAUGUGAAAUCCCCGCGCUUAACGUGGGAACUGCAUUUGAAACUGGCAAGCUAGAGUCUUGUAGAGGGGGGUAGAAUUCCAGGUGUAGCGGUGAAAUGCGUAGAGAUCUGGAGGAAUACCGGUGGCGAAGGCGGCCCCCUGGACAAAGACUGACGCUCAGGUGCGAAAGCGUGGGGAGCAAACA
RNAcentral lists this ribosomal RNA (427 nucleotides) under uncultured bacterium. Its description in RNAcentral is "partial 16S ribosomal RNA". It matches the Rfam family "Bacterial small subunit ribosomal RNA", at positions 355 to 774 of the family's 1533-position model. The record is from RNAcentral.